This is a long non-coding RNA of Piliocolobus tephrosceles (Ugandan red Colobus), 4914 nucleotides long. The record is from Ensembl. NCBI's taxonomy places the organism in Eukaryota, Metazoa, Chordata, Mammalia, Primates, Cercopithecidae.
AUGAACAAGUUAUUAUAUAUAUAUAAAUGUAUGCAUAUACAAUGUAUGCACAACUUAACUCCUAUGUGUUCUUUUCUUACUAAUUUUAUUCCAAAUGAUUGUAGUAUUACCAAUUUUUUUGUUAAUACAUAUAAUAAUUAUUUUGUUAGUAAUAUAUUUUUUCAUAACCUUUUUUAUACAUAUGAUAACACAUUAACCUUGUUGCUUAAUUCUAACAAUACCGAUUGUGUUUGUUAUGAUGACCAAUAUGAUUAUCAUCCAGUUCGACGAAAUAACCAAGGAAAAUGCGAAGAUUACAAAAAGUAUAUUAAAAAAAACAAAACAAAUAAAAUACAACAAAACGUACAUCCAGAUUAUAAACCUUUAUAUACUUCUAAAAACAAACAAAUGCUUAACGUAGUAGUGAAAGACAACUUAUUUAUUUAUAAAAACAACUUGAAAAAUAAAACAACCAGUAAAAACAUAAUUAAAGAAAAUAACUAUAACAAUAUGAGAGAUGAUGCUAUUGGCCUGUUCAAAAAUGAAAAUUUUGAUAAUAAUACCAAUUGUUAUGAUAAUUCUCUUAUUUGUACUAAUACAAAUAAACAAGAGGAAGAACCAACAGGAAAUGACAAAAAAUUCACACAGAACCGUCGCAAUGGUUAUACAAAACCGACUUAUAUGAUGGAGUGUCUUACGAAAGAGGAUGAGCAAGAUAAACAAAAUGGGCAAAAAGAACAAGAAAUGGCGAUGAGACUAUUAUGUGAAAAUGAUGCUGGUAAAAAGGACAGACAAAUAGGUAAAAAAGACAAAACAAAAAAGACAACUAAACGUUCCACAUGCAAUAAGAAAAACCAAAAUGCGACAAAUAUAUAUACAAAACGAGAAUUAAAAAAAAAUAUAAUAAUAUCAAAAUCGGCAGAGAAAUACAUGGAAAUGGUUUUAUCACUUCUAUAUAAAAAUGUAGACUUUGAAAAUAAAAAAAAAAUAAACUUGGAAAAUGAAAAAAACGAAUUUCAUAGUUUGUUUGAAUAUAUGGAUAACAAUUCGAAUAAUUGUUUAAGGAGAAAAUAUAAUUUUUUGAAUAAUUUAACUUUUAAAGAUAAUAGUUUAAGUUGUUUAGAAACAGGAGCUAUCAUUUCGCAUCCAUUUUUACCAUUUUUUGCUCUUGUACUUAUUAACAAUAAUGAAAAUGAUAACACCUGUGCUGAUAAUAAAAAAUAUAAUUUGAAUGUAUCUACUGUUGGUAAUGUAAGUGGUACUACUGCUGCUGCUGCUACUGCUGCAGAUAUACCCGGUGCCACUAUCAACAAUAACAAUGCACAAAACGUAUAUAAAAACAAAUUUAGAAUAAAGUUAUGUAGUUAUACUAACACAUAUAAUAACAUUUCAUAUAAACAUGGUGCUAUUUCAACUAUAUCUUGGAAUAGUACAGGUAAUUUGCUAUUUGUAGGUGAUAAUAUUGGGUACUUAUACAUUUAUAACCUAUUUAUGGGCACAUUUAUUAAUAAAAAAAAAAGUGAAUCUAAAAACGAUACAACUACUGUUACGAAGUCAAUGGUAAACCAUAAUACAACCUCAUCAAAAGAAGUAACAAAUAAAGAAAUUAAUAAAAAAGGAAAACCAAAUGAAUGUAGGAGUAAUACUUUGGGUAUAACUACUACUGUUAAUAAUACUAGUAACACAAAUGUGAACAAUAAAAGAAUUACUAAUGACAAACACAAUGACAAACACAAUGACAAACACAAUGACAAACACAAAGACAGAGACAGAGACAGAGACAGAGAAGGGCCAUCAUCAGAACAAGAACACACAACAGAUAGUUAUACUACAAGUCAGUAUGAAUACGACGAAUAUAACACAAAUGAAUAUGAUAAUUAUGAUGAAUGGGAUGAUUAUAAUAGUUGCACCUGUAGUAAUGAAAGUGCUAGUGUGGGGGGGAAACGAACUAUUACCAAGCAAUGGUACAAACAUUCUACGCGCUCGAAUUUAGAUUUAAAGUCUUACGCUACUUCUGCUGCUAAUCGUGAUAAAUACAGGAUAAGUACCAAAAGGAAUAACUUUAAUAAACAACUAAACAACAGAAUGAAUAAUAAAAAAAAUAAAAAAAAAAAUAAAGAAGAAGAAGAAGAAGAAGAAGAAGAACAACAACAACAACAGCAACAACAACAACAUGACUACAAAUUUGGAGACAAAUUAAAAGAAAGUAAUAAAAAAAUAAAAAACUUUUUUAAGGAUAAUUUUUUAAAAAAUAAGAAAAACAAUUUGCAACAGAUGGAUACGGGUACUACAGGUAUAGGUAGAGGCAUAGGUAUAGGCUUAGGUAGAGGUAAAAGUAAGAGAAGGGUUUGUAAAAAUAGAGACCGAGGAAGGGAUAGUGGCCGUGAGCGAGAACGGGAACGGGAAUGGGAAUGGGAACGGGAACGUAAAAGAAAAAUAAGAGAAAGACGAGAAAGAAGAAAACAAAAAAUGUUAAACAGAAGAGGUUAUGUUUUAAAAGAAGCAAUGUGUGUAAUCAAACUCCAUGAUGAAAUUAUAGAUGUCCAGUGUUUAAAUGACAACAACUUUUAUAUAAUCAGCAUAGGUAAAGGUGUAAAUGCCAAAUCGGUUAACAAACACACUAUAUGUAUAAACACUAAUAUGAUAACAGAUGAAUUGGAAGAAGAAUUGCAACGACAAAACGAGGAAAGAUAUAAAAACAAAAACUCGGAAUUGAAAAAAGUGGAUAAUGUUGCUGUUGCUACUACUACUACUACUACUACUACUACAACUGCUACUACUACUACUAGUACUACUACUAAUAGUACCAUAUUAACACCUAACAAAUACAUCAAUUCGAGUCAAUUAAAAAAACCCGAUUUGGUGUCAUUAGUGGCAUCAUCAGUUCCAAACAGUACUACUAACUUAAAAAUAGAAAAAUAUACACAAGAAGAUAAAACGAGUUCAAAUAUGAUAGAUGCAAACGGAAAUGUUAAUAUUGGUGAUAAGCAACAACAACUGACAAAAAAAACGAAAUUGGUAAACAUAGAAGGUAAACUAGGAAAUAUGAGUAGUUUGUAUUAUCAUGAAGACAGUAAAAGAACACGCAGUUCAAACAAAAACAAUAAAUACGAGUUAAACCGUAUGCACAGCACCAACAACAAUAAUAGCAACAAUAAUAGCAACAAUAAUAACAACAAUAAUAACAACAAUAAUAACAACAAUAAUAACAGUAACAGCAACAAUAAUAACAAUAGUAUAAAAAAAAAAAAAAAAAAAAGCUCUAAAAAUUUAAAUAAUUUUUUAAAUUUACAUGUUUUUAAAAAAAAUGACGACUCUUAUAACUCCCGCUUUUUUUAUUUCGAUUCCAAUUUUAGCUUUACAAAAAAAAAUAAAAAAGUUCAAACCUUGAUUUCGAACAAUGUUUGUAUAUGUGUGUGGGAUAUGUGUUCUAUUUUAACAAACGAAGAAAAACGUUAUUUGAAAUGUACGAAAGAUAUGAUAAACGAAAAUAUUAAUCACUGUAAAUAUACAAAUAAAAAUGGACAAACUGGAAAAUUACAUAUGAACAGGGAUACUAAUACUAAUACUAAUGCUAAUGCUAACAUAAAGACAAAUCCAUGCUUAAAAAAAUCAAAAACAUGUAUACUUCAUCCUGACUUAGUUUGUAUUAUUAGUAAUGUAGCAAACGAAAAAGAUACAACAAAUAAAAAUAAAAACACAGAAAGUGGUCAAAGUAGCAAUACAAAUAAUACUACCAACACUAACAGUACUAAUGAUAAUUUUAUUACUUCAUUUUGUACGUGGUUAAACCCAAGGAGUUACAUGCACAAGUCAGCUAACAUUGCUGAUUGUGUCAAAAGUAAUGCCCAUAAUAACGGAAUCGCUUAUAAUAUCAAUAGCCCAUAUGACAGUGAUAGCAAAACAAAAAAAGAUAUAAAAGAGAGUAACAAAAAUAACAGUACUACUACUGUAUCCUCACCUUAUCAUAACAAUUAUACAAAUGUUAUAUACCACGAAGUGCCUAAAAAAAAAAGCACUUUUUGGAAUAUCUUUAGACAGAAAAUAAAUAUAAACCCUUUUUUCGAAGAUGCUUACAUAUUUUACAGUGACAAAUCAGGUUAUAUACAUGUAGUCCAUCUUCAAACAUAUAGUGAAAUUUUAUGUUUCAAAGCGUUUGAUGCACCUAUAUUUAAGAUUUUUUUAGCAAAAUGUAUCACUACUAAGUUACUAGCCCUUACUGACACGAAGCUACGAAUUUAUGAAGUCCUAUCACCAAUCCAUAUAAUUUUUAUAAGAGAAAUAGAAUUGAAACACCAUGUAUCUCCUGCCAAAUGUAUAUGCGAAGAUAAAAUAAACGAACUUAGAGAAUGUGAAGAAAGAAGAAUGGAAAAAGAAAAUGAACAGGAAAAAGAAGGAAUUUCGAUUUUUAAUUUAUCUUAUUUUUUAUCGACUAGUUAUAAUAAAAAACAAAAUAAUAUAAAAUGUGAAACCAGUAAAAGUAAUACACCUUUUAUAUAUAAUAACACUAAUGGUAGCAAUAUAUCAGUUGAGACUUGUGCUAACAGUAACCCAAUCAAUGUUUAUGCCAAUAGUUAUAUUAAUAACAACUUAAAUAACACUAAUACAUGUCCAAACAGAGCCUUUCCAUUGAUAUCAUCUAAUAACAUGUUGUACUAUAAAGACGAAAAAGUAGUAAUGAAAAAUAAAAUCAGAAAAAGUAUUUCUAAUAGUAGUUUCCAGCAAGUAAAGGAAAAUUAUAUGCAUAAAAAUUUACAAACACAAUCUUCUUUCAACUCUUUAAAUCGAUCCGAUACAUUUAGUGAAAGCGAAGACGAUGUAGACAUGUAUAGUGAUGACAACGAUAAUAAUCAGAGUGUCAUAAUUGGUGGAAUCAAUUUUAGUUAUCUCGGUUUAAAUUUUUCCAAAUUUAUGACUAAUAAAAAAAAGAAAACA